UACGUAGGGUGCGAGCGUUAAUCGGAAUUACUGGGCGUAACGCGUGCGCAGGCGGCGCGUUAAGACAGGUGUGAAAGCCCCGAGCUUAACUUGGGAAUUGCGCUUGUGACUGGCGUGCUGGAGUGUGGCAGAGGGAGGUGGAAUUCCACGUGUAGCAGUGAAAUGCGUAGAGGUGUGGAGGAACACCGAUGGCGAAGGCAGCCUCCUGGGCCAGCACUGACGCUCAUGCACGAAAGCGUGGGGAGCAAACAGG
This 253-nucleotide ribosomal RNA is filed under the name uncultured bacterium. RNAcentral's name for it is "partial 16S ribosomal RNA". It matches the Rfam family "Bacterial small subunit ribosomal RNA", at positions 524 to 776 of the family's 1533-position model. The record is from RNAcentral.